Long non-coding RNA from Gadus morhua (Atlantic cod), 892 nucleotides. RefSeq lists it as uncharacterized. NCBI's taxonomy places the organism in Eukaryota, Metazoa, Chordata, Actinopteri, Gadiformes, Gadidae. The record is from RefSeq and is a predicted model, not a curated record. The transcript is spliced from 3 exons.
GUGUCUGUGCGUGUGUGUGCGUGCGUGUGGGUGCGUGCGUGUGUGUGUGUGCGCUGGUACACGUUACUUAAAGCCUAUGGUGCAGGUUAACCGGAAGUUUCGAUUAAUGGGUACAUAAAGCACUCAAAAUAUGUACCGCAUUCAUGAAAUGUCUCCAAAAUUGCGUUAAAGUCCAGUUUUUGUCGUUUUUUGUGGUAACGGGUGUUUUCUAACGUCGUUCGGUGGUGACGUCACGGUAGGGAGUCGUGGUGGAAGGUAGCCUCAGCCUAGUACUAGAACUAUGGCGUCUAACUGGGAUGAGGAAGAGGUGGCAAGAACCACAAAUUACAUUUAUGAUGGCCCACAGCCGUAUAAUUUCGAGCCUGUUAGACGUGAGGGGGCGAAUGAGGAAUUGCCGAGGAUUGAUGGCCGUCAAAGCCAAUUAAAUUCAUGGUCAGAGGAGAAUGGGUGGAGAGUUGGUGAGGUGUCCUGGUGUUUGUGUGGGCGGUGCCGUCCUAUGGAAUCUGUGGUGGAGAGCUUGUGCUGUAGGGAAGUGAGUGCGUUUUGGUCGCUGGUCGAGAAGCUCAGCCCAAGACCAGCAGAUGUGACAUGCCUCACUCAGCAUCCAGGAUUUGAUGCAUGCUGCCUGAAUCCGUUUGUGCUUAAGAUAGCGUACACACAUUUCAAGCAGGAUCAUGGUCCCCUUCAAGCCAGCACGCACGAGCAAUACCAGUACACUGCAUACAGGCAGGCUAUACGAUGGGCUUAUGGAGUUCUUGGCCUGCAUAUAAGGAAGCCUCUACCCUCCUGUCUGGUUUCAGCCAUCAGGCAACAAUUUCAGAGUGGUGACCAGACCUAUCAUGGCUUUCAAUGGCCUCGUUUGGAUGAAGAAUAAAAACCAUAUUGGCACGUA